Molecule: small nuclear RNA, 22 nt
Filed under: Arabidopsis thaliana (thale cress)
Lineage: Eukaryota; Viridiplantae; Streptophyta; Magnoliopsida; Brassicales; Brassicaceae
Description: snRNA_07160
Source: RNAcentral
UAAUCCCUCUAGACCCGAAACC